This 70-nucleotide non-coding RNA is filed under the name Staphylococcus lugdunensis. Its description in RNAcentral is "S. aureus tsr31 small RNA". It matches the Rfam family "S. aureus tsr31 small RNA". Lineage: Bacteria; Bacillati; Bacillota; Bacilli; Caryophanales; Staphylococcaceae. The record is from RNAcentral.
UCCUUUAAUUAGGACACGUGUAUAAAUGUUAUGCGCUCCCCUUACAAUGGAUGUGAGAGGGAGCGAUUUU